RNAcentral lists this ribosomal RNA (391 nucleotides) under uncultured bacterium. Its description in RNAcentral is "bacterial SSU rRNA". It matches the Rfam family "Bacterial small subunit ribosomal RNA", at positions 29 to 402 of the family's 1533-position model. The record is from RNAcentral.
AGCGAACGCUGGCGGCGUACUUAACACAUGCAAGUCGAACGGGGAUCGUCAGUGUAGCAAUACAUCGGCGGUCCUAGUGGCGCACGGGUGAGUAACACGUGGGUAACCUGCCCUUGAGUUCGGGAUACCCUCUCGAAAGGGAGGCUAAUACCGGAUACGUUCCUCGGAUUGCGAAGUCUGGGGAGGAAAGGUGGCGCAAGCUGCCGCUCUUGGAGGGGCUCGCGGCCUAUCAGCUAGUUGGUGAGGUAACGGCUCACCAAGGCUAUGACGGGUAGCUGGUCUGAGAGGACGACCAGCCACACGGGAACUGAGACACGGUCCCGACUCCUACGGGAGGCAGCAGUGGGGAAUUUUCCGCAAUGGGCGAAAGCCUGACGGAGUGACGCCGCGU